Molecule: unclassified non-coding RNA, 452 nt
Filed under: Hevea brasiliensis (rubber tree)
Lineage: Eukaryota; Viridiplantae; Streptophyta; Magnoliopsida; Malpighiales; Euphorbiaceae
Source: RNAcentral
AUUUGCGAUCAAUAUAUUCUGUCAAUGCUAACAAAUAAUAAAUUGAUUUGGAGUCACUCUGGGUCAAAAUUGAAAUUGGGAACCAUAAAUCACUCAUACACUGUUCUGGAGAGAUACUAGCCAAUGUUAUAAAUCUCAUACUCCAAACUUCUAUAGCGCAAAAAAAAAAAAGUUUAUCUUUUUAACAUAUGGAAAAUGAUAUGCAUGGUAUCCCAACAGAAAUACCCAAACAUCUCCCCUUAACGUGACCUCAACACCUCCACAAUGAUCCCAAUUAUGGAGUUUUGAUUCAUCCACCCUUUCGUUUCUUAAUGGAAGCAAUCCUUCCCAUUGCAAUAAGAAUUACCAAGAGAGUGAAAUAAGGCCAAGAUUAUACGUUCCCAAACUUUGAUGUCUUCUGUUAGAGAUAUCACGUUAGAAUUAUGAAUGCCAAGAUUCCGAUGAACACCAGA